GACAACGUGGCCGAGUGGUUAAGGCGCCAGACUUGAAAUCUGGUGUACUCUGUACUCGCAGGUUCGAACCCUGCCGUUGUCG
This is a transfer RNA of Batrachochytrium dendrobatidis JAM81, 82 nucleotides long. It matches the Rfam family "tRNA". From Rfam's summary of the family: Transfer RNA (tRNA) molecules are approximately 80 nucleotides in length. Their secondary structure includes four short double-helical elements and three loops (D, anti-codon, and T loops). Lineage: Eukaryota; Fungi; Chytridiomycota; Chytridiomycetes; Rhizophydiales. The record is from Rfam.